AUGGAAAACAAUUUUUGGAGGCCAGCACCGCUCACCAAGCCUCUUCACGGCCUCGUCCUCAUCCGAUCCGUUUGCGUCUUCAGCCACAAUCUCGGUGGUGGCUACGACGUCUGCAACCCUUCCACCGGCGAGUUCUUGCAUCUUCCUGACACCAGGCUGCCAUUGAAGACCGUCGAACGGUACUCGACAACUCAUGGCCCUUUGCCGUGCUACUCGGACAUUGCGUAUGGAUUUGGUUACUGCUCCGUAACGCACCAGUAUAAAGCGGUUCGUAUUUUCAGCUCCCCCGUGUACAUCGAUAUCGCCACCACCUGCUGCGAGGUUCUCGUCCUAGGUGUGCCGACGUGGUGGAGGCCAACGGCCCAGCAGCCUCCCGACUGCAUCGUGGAGGAGCACAACCCGGCCGUGUUCUUGAACGGGUACCUGCAUUUUCUCUGCCUAGAUGGUGGCAUUGUCACUUUCAGUGUCAACGAUGAGACUUUCGAUUCCUUGUCACCGCCGCCGCCCUACCCGGACACUAACCAAGAGGACAAUGCUCUAGUCGCCAGGAUGACAGAGCUGGACGGGUGCUUAUGCCUGUGCCGUGAGAAGUCAAACGGCGAUGGACCAUACCAAGUGUGGCUGCUGAGAGACUACGAGGCACAACAAUGGGAGCAGCUCUGCUCCUUCGACCGGAGCGUUUGGCCGGAGCCCGAGCGGACUCAGCUGCAAACACAGUGGAUAACUCCACUCACCAUGCACAAUGACAGCAGCAUACAGAGAAAGAUUAUGUUCGGGACUGGUACUUGCAGGGUGUUCACCAUGGACCUCGACGGCACGCCCGAGGUGCUGCUCAUUCCGGACGAAGCCAUGUCCAGAAGUAUACGUGAUAACCAAAAUUACCCAGCAGUAGGCUUGUUCGAAGAGAGCCUCGUUCUCCUUGGUCGUAUAAUCCAGGACAUGGAUUUCAGGUCACCGACGACUCAAGCUUGGUCAGACGUCCUCAAGUGGCUGCCGGCACAGUCGGUUUUGGAGCUAAGCCUCGUGUGCAGGGAGUGGCGUGCCAUGGCCUUGAAUCCCCAGUUCCACCAGUCCCAUGUCGUCCAUGCCAACUCGGUCAAAAAGCAUCAUCGUAUCAAGUUCGUCAUCGAUCCGUCAUUUGGUGUUCUCUGGGACAUGGAUGGCGUCGAUAAUUUCCCAUAUCCGCCAGACAUUACAUCGGACCUGUUUCACUGUUCACGGCCUAAACGUGGGCACCUUAAAUGGCAUGGACUUCUUGAAAAUAGAUCUUUUGCUGCCCGUAUCGCAUUGGGAUAUGACUCUGACAUCAACGACCAUGUGUUGGUGUCUCUUGCCUACGAGGAGAGGAACAUGGACACUCGCCAAUACAAACUACGAUGCAAUGUGCGAACUGUGUAUGGUGACCAAUGGUAUGAGAAUGACCCUCCGCCGAGGCCAGUGGCUGAUUCGCCACCCGCCUACGCAGAUGGCAAGAUUUACUGGUUGGUCGAGCCAAAGCUUGGGCCGAGCACCACUGCAUCAUGUGAGCUCGUGGCAUUUGACACCGUAGAAAGAGAGUUUGAGGUUGUGGAAGGGCCACUGUGCAGCUACAAUAAUGGAGGCCGCAUAUCUGUUGUUGAGCUCCACGGCAUAAUUCAUGUGGCGUGGUCGGAUCAAGAUGAGGAUGCCAUUGACGUAUGGGUGAUGGAGGACAGCUGCGCUUGGCGCGUUGAGUACCGCAUAGAGCUCGCCAAGUUCUCACCGGAGUACUCGUCCGAGAGUACAACGAUCAUGGCUAUUGAUCCUACAGACGGACGGAUUUUGCUCAACACAGGAAGAUCGUUAGGAUACUACAAUCCCGAGACCGGGGAGCUGGAGACAAUCUACCAUGUUACCGCUGAGUCAGUGUACAAUGAUAACAGGACCCAUUUCUGUGCGGUUGUCUACCAAGAAAGCCUAUUCCGGCCAUUUGUGAGGGAGUAA
This 1962-nucleotide ribosomal RNA is filed under the name Triticum aestivum (bread wheat). RNAcentral describes it as "partial small subunit ribosomal RNA". The record is from RNAcentral. Lineage: Eukaryota; Viridiplantae; Streptophyta; Magnoliopsida; Poales; Poaceae.